RNAcentral lists this ribosomal RNA (396 nucleotides) under uncultured bacterium. RNAcentral describes it as "bacterial SSU rRNA". It matches the Rfam family "Bacterial small subunit ribosomal RNA", at positions 505 to 898 of the family's 1533-position model. The record is from RNAcentral.
GUGCCAGCCGCCGCGGUAGUACGGAGGGUGCGAGCGUUGUCCGGAAUCACUGGGCGUAAAGGGCGCGUAGGUGGCCUGUGGAAGUCUGCGGUGAAAGCCCGGCGCUCAACGCCGGGUCGGCCGUGGAUACUCUCGGGCUUGAGCUUACUAGAGGCAGAUGGAAUUCCGGGUGUAGCGGUGGAAUGCGUAGAGAUCCGGAAGAACACCGGUGGCGAAGGCGGUCUGCUGGGGUAAUGCUGACACUGAUGCGCGACAGCGUGGGGAGCAAACAGGAUUAGAUACCCUGGUAGUCCACGCCGUAAACGAUGGGCACUAGGUGCUUGGGGGAGCGACCCCCUGAGUGCCGUCGCUAACGCAUUAAGUGUUCCGCCUGGGGAGUACGACCGCAAGGUUGAA